GGAAAGACCCCGUGAACCUUUACUAUAGCUUGACACUGAACAUUGAGCCUUGAUGUGUAGGAUAGGUGGGAGGCUUUGAAGUGUGGACGCCAGUCUGCAUGGAGCCGGCCUUGAAAUACCACCCUUUAAUGUUUGAUGUUCUAACGUGGACCCGUAAUCCGGGUUGCGGACAGUGUCUGGUGGGUAGUUUGACUGGGGCGGUCUCCUCCUAAAGAGUAACGGAGGAGCACGAAGGUUGGCUAAUCCUGGUCGGACAUCAGGAGGUUAGUGCAAUGGCAUAAGCCAGCUUGACUGCGAGCGUGACGGCGCGAGCAGGUGCGAAAGCAGGUCAUAGUGAUCCGGUGGUUCUGAAUGGAAGGGCCAUCGCUCAACGGAUAAAAGGUACUCCGGGGAUAACAGGCUGAUACCGCCCAAGAGUUCAUAUCGACGGCGGUGUUUGGCACCUCGAUGUCGGCUCAUCACAUCCUGGGGCUGAAGUAGGUCCCAAGGGUAUGGCUGUUCGCCAUUUAAAGUGGUACGCGAGCUGGGUUUAGAACGUCGUGAGACAGUUCGGUCCCUAUCUGCCGUGGGCGCUGGAGAACUGAGGGGGGCUGCUCCUAGUACGAGAGGACCGGAGUGGACGCAUCACUGGUGUUCGGGUUGUCAUGCCAAUGGCACUGCCCGGUAGCUAAAUGCGGAAGAGAUAAGUGCUGAAAGCAUCUAAGCACGAAACUUGCCCCGA
Molecule: ribosomal RNA, 721 nt
Filed under: Salmonella enterica subsp. enterica serovar Typhimurium str. SL1344
Lineage: Bacteria; Pseudomonadati; Pseudomonadota; Gammaproteobacteria; Enterobacterales; Enterobacteriaceae
Description: partial 23S ribosomal RNA
Rfam family: Bacterial large subunit ribosomal RNA
Source: RNAcentral